CCUAAUUUGGGUCAUGACAAGCUUGGUACUAUAGCAUGGUUUAGAUUCAUUAGGUAUCCACAAAGUCAUGUCAAGUAGUGUCUUUUUAUGGAUGUGUAGUGCGUCGUACUUAUAAGGAGGAGUCUACAAAAUAUUUAGGAAUGUUUUCAUUUUUUGUGUUCUAUUUUGGGCUAUCGAGUCUAGUGUCAUGAAUUCUCUGUAACUUUUGGUUUCCUCGUAUUUCUGUUCAUGCCUUCCCAAAG
This 242-nucleotide long non-coding RNA is filed under the name Capsicum annuum. RNAcentral's name for it is "long non-coding RNA (CANN_LNC015238)". Lineage: Eukaryota; Viridiplantae; Streptophyta; Magnoliopsida; Solanales; Solanaceae. The record is from RNAcentral.